This 801-nucleotide ribosomal RNA is filed under the name uncultured bacterium. RNAcentral's name for it is "bacterial SSU rRNA". It matches the Rfam family "Bacterial small subunit ribosomal RNA", at positions 80 to 876 of the family's 1533-position model. The record is from RNAcentral.
UUGCUACUUUACCUAGCGGCGGACGGGUGAGUAAUGCUUAGGAAUCUGCCUAUUAGUGGGGGACAACAUCUCGAAAGGGAUGCUAAUACCGCAUACGUCCUACGGGAGAAAGCAGGGGACCUUCGGGCCUUGCGCUAAUAGAUGAGCCUAAGUCGGAUUAGCUAGUUGGUGGGGUAAAGGCCUACCAAGGCGACGAUCUGUAGCGGGUCUGAGAGGAUGAUCCGCCACACUGGGACUGAGACACGGCCCAGACUCCUACGGGAGGCAGCAGUGGGGAAUAUUGGACAAUGGGGGGAACCCUGAUCCAGCCAUGCCGCGUGUGUGAAGAAGGCCUUUUGGUUGUAAAGCACUUUAAGCGAGGAGGAGGCUACCGAGAUUAAUACUCUUGGAUAGUGGACGUUACUCGCAGAAUAAGCACCGGCUAACUCUGUGCCAGCAGCCGCGGUAAUACAGAGGGUGCAAGCGUUAAUCGGAUUUACUGGGCGUAAAGCGCGCGUAGGUGGCCAAUUAAGUCAAAUGUGAAAUCCCCGAGCUUAACUUGGGAAUUGCAUUCGAUACUGGUUGGCUAGAGUAUGGGAGAGGAUGGUAGAAUUCCAGGUGUAGCGGUGAAAUGCGUAGAGAUCUGGAGGAAUACCGAUGGCGAAGGCAGCCAUCUGGCCUAAUACUGACACUGAGGUGCGAAAGCAUGGGGAGCAAACAGGAUUAGAUACCCUGGUAGUCCAUGCCGUAAACGAUGUCUACUAGCCGUUGGGGUCUUUGAGACUUUAGUGGCGCAGCUAACGCGAUAAGUAGACCGCCUGG